GGUAACCAUACAACAGUGCAUCUACUGCAUUUUACUUUUACAUGGAUUAUAGCAAAAGUUACUGACUUUUUCCUUUGUAGCCUUGGCCAGGAGUCGGGCAUGGUCCUCUGGUGAGAUUCUGAAGGCCUCCUGUGCAUACUGAUAAAGGUCUUGUAUGUACGGUGCUGUACCUCUGGUUUGAUAGCAAACUGGCUCUCUGAGGGAGGGUGUCGUUCAUGAUCUUCCUGAAAUAUUCAAAUGUUCCAUGAAUCCUUCAAUGUGAAAUAGAAGCACAAUUUUUUUUUCAUGGUAACAUACAAAGCCCUGCAUACAACAGUACUUUUUAGGUUUCUAUUUGCCGGGUUUGGCCUCUUCCAGCAGGAGAUGACUCACAGGUUCUGCAGUCCUACUUGUCCCUAUGUUGCUCGACCAGCUGCCAUUGAUGGCAGUCAACCGCAAGUCCAAGUACGUGCAAUGUUCCUAACCCUCACCCAAAGCCGGGCUACCUUACUGGAAACAUUAGUGCCAAACCCUGUGUGGGCCGCAACUCAUGUAAUGAUGCCCAAGUUCCUCUAAAAUACCUACUAUACAACACUAACUAAAAUAACAAUGCUAAAAAAAAACCUGUGUAGCAAAAUGAAUUCCAACUGCUCACAUAAAAUAUUGCAUCAUUAUUCAAGUGCUAGAUGCAUCAUUCGGGAAUUAAUUUACUUUAAUGUGAAUCUUUAGUAAUACAGUUCAGUCAUCAAAGACAGCUUGAUUUCUGGUUUUUGAUUCACACGUCACAUAGACUGUACGUUGCCCAUUGAUUGGGAAAAUCAUACCUCUACCUUCCUACUUACUGUUGAGGGGGGGAGGACAAAUGAAUAAAAAUAAUACG
Long non-coding RNA from Ostrea edulis (European flat oyster), 859 nucleotides. RefSeq lists it as uncharacterized. NCBI's taxonomy places the organism in Eukaryota, Metazoa, Mollusca, Bivalvia, Ostreida, Ostreidae. The transcript has 4 exons. The record is from RefSeq and is a predicted model, not a curated record.